Long non-coding RNA from Lycium barbarum (goji berry), 1401 nucleotides. RefSeq lists it as uncharacterized. The transcript is spliced from 3 exons. Lineage: Eukaryota; Viridiplantae; Streptophyta; Magnoliopsida; Solanales; Solanaceae. The record is from RefSeq and is a predicted model, not a curated record.
ACUACAUCUUCCAUAAGGCAAAAAAAAAAAACUCAGCUAAACAGAGGCAAAUUCAUGUCCCAAAAAAUUACAAGAAAUGGUUCCACCUGUGGAUGUGUCGAAAACUUGCCAUAUGAACCAAAUCCAAUUUAUAAGAGCCUCUUGCCUGAGCUGGUAGUCCAUUGACCGACGAUCUGUUAGGUUUUCCAUUCCAUUUAGCCAAGGCAUCCGCUUCUCUGUAACAAUGUUGGAUUUUGUAAUUGCCUUGUUCGGUUGCUUCUUAGUCUCCUGUAUGGUGUCAAGCAUUUUCCAUGGAGGAAUUGUCUUUCCCAGUAGCAUAUUCACAACCAACAGAGAGUCGCAUUCGAGAAUGAUAUGACUCAUACUAUUGUUCAUGCAUCAAUUCAAACAAAAAAGAACAGCCUUGGCUUCUGCUAAGUUGCUUCCUUUGCUAAUGCAUGUGCAACUUUGUUUCCUUCUCCGAAGCUAUGUCAAAGCAGCAGAUUGGUCUCCUGGAACAUUAACCAUCUGCAUUUCAAAAGAAAGAAUCACUACAAAAAAAAAAAAAAAAAAAAAAAAAAAUGGUUCCUUACGGUGGUGUUUUUAUGACGGUUUCUAUAACCGCCACAAUAAGCGAAAUAAUAAGGCGGUUUUCCAAAUGCCAUAUUAAGAAUUUUAUUUGCGACGGUUUUAAUAUUAUUACGGCGGUUUGAACCGCCGCUAUUUUUUUUAAUUAAAAAGAGUACAUCCCACAGCAUAUUAAGGUUGUACGUAUUUAGAACCUUCCACAACAUAUUCUCUCUUUCGCCAAAAUUGCUCUCAAUCGCUCUAAUCAAUCACUCUAAUCUCCCCAAUAUAGCUCAAAAUUCUCAAAAUCACUCUUAGUCGCUUUAUGGUAGCCGAGGGAUCAAAAGUUGCUGGUGAAGCUAUUGGGAUCAUAUUGAAGUGAUACACUUAAACAAGCUAUAGAUCUAGAUGAUAGCAAUUGGUUUGAUAUUUGCUUAAAUGAUAUUGAAGUAUCCACGUGGACGUACUAAAUAUUGACACAUGGCGGCGAGUGACAGAUCAGGUCUGAGUCAGCAAGCGAGGGCCGGGAUUCCGAGAGAUCACAUACAGCCAGCCGGAGGGUUAACUUGGCACUCCCCUCCGAAGACAGAUCUAGGCUACAACUGAUUCAGAGAAGCUCACCCGUCAACCGGUCCUGCACAUGCAAACAAAGCUGACAGGUGUUACGGGAUAUCCCAAGUCUCUCGUCUCCCUCUAGUCUUAAGUGUGUAAUAUUAUUCUUUAUUGCAAUUUAUUAUCACAACAUUAACAUUGGUAAUUAAGAGAGCAUGAUUCGGGGAUCAUGCACCCCAUAGUUCUAGUCUAAAUAGGGCUUUUCAUUUCAUUGCAACGGAUCAUCGAAAACUUCAUAGAAAA